This is a small nucleolar RNA of Verticillium longisporum, 100 nucleotides long. It matches the Rfam family "Small nucleolar RNA snR60/Z15/Z230/Z193/J17". From Rfam's summary of the family: The members of this family belong to the C/D class of snoRNAs which contain the C (UGAUGA) and D (CUGA) box motifs. Most of the members of the box C/D family function in directing site-specific 2'-O-methylation of substrate RNAs. The record is from Rfam. Lineage: Eukaryota; Fungi; Ascomycota; Sordariomycetes; Glomerellales; Plectosphaerellaceae.
CCCGGUUUCAUGAUGAUCCCACCAAUUACGCAUAGUUCACCUGAAUCUUUGUGAUGAGACUGCAUAUGUUAUAGUCUUUCGCUCCCAUCUGAUGUUUCAA